CACAUCUGCCACAGCAACUCAUACCAAUAGGUCAAGGACAGGUCACCGGUAGGUGAAGGACAGCAAACCACAAUAUCCAGAAUGAAUAGCAAUGUCAGGACGUAGUACCACCCCUGUCGAGGUGGAUCCAGUUGAGAAUGGAUGUCAACAGGUAGCUAACGUUACUCACUGGACCAGACACUCAUUCAUAGAACAUAAGCUAGCGAAUAACUAUUUAUUUGUGUUUUUGUGCAGACAAAUGUCAAGUUUAGUCAUGGUGUGGUGCUCAGUACCUGGGUAUGCAAACUACAAGAAAGGGUAACAUUUCAUUGGUUGCUUUACUAAGAAGUCGAGCAUAGGUAAUGUAGCUAACUUAACUAGUUAGCAAACUACAUUUGUUAAUCUAAACCAAAAUCUAGCUAGCUUUCAUAAUAUGCUGGCUAGACAUUCCAAAGCAAAUAAUUGUAAUUAGCCAGCUGCUAUCUGGCGAAGUGAUUUGUAACUUUGCCAGCUAACGUUAUGUUAGCUACAGCCUACAGGACCACAGAGGCUAACGUUACUGGCCUAUGUGUUCUAUUUACAGAGUUCUGAUCCCAUAAAGAUCUGCUGUGGCAUCAAGCUCAGCACCAGGAACUAGUAGUGAUGGGGGAAAAAUUGAUAGUUACAUAUGGAGAUAUUAUUUUUCAUGAUAUAUCAUAUCGUUUUGACAAUAUGGCAAUAUUAUUUUUGCGCUAGUUGGCUGUACCUGCACCAAAACGUUUUCCUUCAUAGCUUGUUCUCCAUCUUCUGUUUAAAUAGGGAGCCAAUUGGCUUUCAGCGGUUUAAUUUCCACAACUGAUCAGAACUUGUUUUCUCUGGCUCUCCGUUGUCGACUGACAUAUGGACCUGAGCCCUAGGACCAUGCCUCAGGACUACCUGGCCUGAUGACUCCUUGCUGUCCCCAGUCCACCUGGUCGUGCUGCUGCUCCAGUUUCAACUGUUUUUCUGUGGCUAUGGAACUCUGACAUGUUCACUGGACGUG
Molecule: long non-coding RNA, 1000 nt
Organism: Oncorhynchus tshawytscha (Chinook salmon)
Lineage: Eukaryota; Metazoa; Chordata; Actinopteri; Salmoniformes; Salmonidae
Source: Ensembl